AGCAGCAGCCGCGGUAAUACAGAGGGUGCGAGCGUUAAUCGGAUUUACUGGGCGUAAAGCGUGCGUAGGCGGCUUUUUAAGUCGGAUGUGAAAUCCCUGAGCUUAACUUAGGAAUUGCAUUCGAUACUGGGAAGCUAGAGUAUGGGAGAGGAUGGUAGAAUUCCAGGUGUAGCGGUGAAAUGCGUAGAGAUCUGGAGGAAUACCGAUGGCGAAGGCAGCCAUCUGGCCUAAUACUGACGCUGAGGUACGAAAGCAUGGGGAGCAAACAGGAUUAGAUACCCCAGUAGUCCCUGUCUCUUAUAA
RNAcentral lists this ribosomal RNA (303 nucleotides) under uncultured bacterium. RNAcentral describes it as "partial 16S ribosomal RNA". It matches the Rfam family "Bacterial small subunit ribosomal RNA", at positions 507 to 809 of the family's 1533-position model. The record is from RNAcentral.